This is a long non-coding RNA of Bos grunniens (domestic yak), 1686 nucleotides long. NCBI's taxonomy places the organism in Eukaryota, Metazoa, Chordata, Mammalia, Artiodactyla, Bovidae. The record is from Ensembl.
UCUAUUUCCUAAUACAGGGCUUCUGUUCAGUUAGGAUAAUGAGCACAGAGGAAAAUGGUAAACUUUUAGGUCUGGAAGUGGUCUUAGCCUACUCCCUUCGUUUUCUGGGUGAGGAAAUUGAAGCCCAGAGGACUCUGGUGAUUUCCCUAAGGUCAGACAAUGAUUUUAGUAGUAGGGCUAGAAACAGAACCCAGGUACCGACCCAGCAUCCAAGCACUCGGGGCAACUUCUCCUACAACUUUUUAUUGCCAGCCUCUCACUCUCAGAAAAGGGAGUGUCUUCAUAUUACAGUUUAUCUGAAGUCUCUGCAGGGAGGAAAAUAAUUCCUGAGAAGGUGAUUGGAGAGAUUUCCAGUCCUUUACAACUUCCUGGAGACUGGGCAGGGAGGUUAACUCUCCUUGUCACAUUCCAGGAAAUACCAGGAAGGAGUGACUUCCACAUGAUCUGCGGGCCUGAUGUCCCUAGAGGGUAGGGCAGGCCUCCCUCCCCUUCCUAGAGAGAUGGGAAGGGGAGAGCAGUCAGCACAGGACAGACCUGGACUCAGAACAAGUCACUUGGACUUCCCUGGCUGCCUAAUGGUUAGGAGUCUGCACAGGUUUGGUCUUGAUCCCUGGUCCAGGAAGAUCCCACAUGCCACAGGGCAACUAAGCCUGUGGGCCGUAACUACUGAACCCGAGCUCUAGAGCCCGUGCUCUGCAAGAGAAGCCAGCAUAACGAGAAGCCCUGUGCUGCAACUAGAGAGUAACCCGGCUUGAGGCAAUUAGAAAGCCCACAUGGAGCAAGGAAGACCCACAGCCAAAAUUAAAUAAGUAAACAAAAAUUUUUUUUUUAAAAGGACAAGUCACUUAGCAUCACUCAAGCCCCAAAUACUCCAAACUCCUCAGAAUAUGGAGCUGUGACUCCUAGAGCUUCAACCUCUCUUAAUAAUAACUGAUAACAAUAAUAAUAUUGCUAUGUCCCAGACACAGUUCAGGGCUAUCAUACAUUAUCUUUGCCUGAACGCUUACAUGCUUUUGAGAGGCAAAAUAAAGUGGUAGUUAAGGGCCUGGUCUCUGGUUAAAACUUCCUGGGCUCAAAUCCAGAUCUCUCACUCACAUAUAGGGCAAUACAGCAAAAAUCAAGUGAAUUAGUAUGUAUAAAGCAUUCACCAUAGCACUGGGCACACAGCAAGCUCUGUGUGCUUUAAUUAUUAAAAUCUUAUAGUCACCUCAGGGCCUUUUCUUAAUCAUCUUAUCUAAAGGGCUCCUUUAAUGAUUCACUUUCAGAUUAUUGUUUUAUUAUUUUUGAAUCUCUUUAUCAUGAUCUGGAAUCAAAAUUGCCGGGAGAAAUAUCAAUAACCUCAGAUAUGCAGAUGACACCACCCUUAUGGCAGAAAGUGAAGAGGAACUCAAAAGCCUCUUGAUGAAAGUGAAAGUGGAGAGUGAAAAAGUUGGCUUAAAGCUCAACAUUGAAAACGAAGAUCAUGGCAUCCGGUCCCACCAUUUCAUGGGAAAUAGAUGGUAAAACAGUGGAAACAGUGUCAGACUUUAUUUUUCUGGGCUCCAAAAUCACUGCAGAUGGUGACUGCAGCCAUGAAAUUGAAAGACGCUUACUCCUUGGAAGGAAAGUUAUGACCAACCUAGACAGCAUAUUCAAAGCAGAGACAUUACUUUGCCAACAAAGGUCCAUCUAGUCAAGGCUAUGGUU